GGUCCGGACUCCGUUUCCCCUCACACCCUGAAGCAUUGUGCUGACCAGCUGUCUCCGGUGUUCACUGACAUCUUCAACACCUCCCUGGAGACCUGCCACGUACCAGCCUGCUUCAAGGCCUCCACCAUCAUCCCUGUCCCCAAGAAGCCCAGGAUCACAGGACUCAAUGACUACAGGCCCGUCGCCCUGACCUCUGUAGUCAUGAAGUCUUUUGAACGGCUAGUCCUGACCCACCUGAAGUCCCUCACCGACCCCCUCCUGGACCCCCUGCAGUUCGCCUACAGAGCCAACAGGUCUGUGGACGAUGCUGUCAACAUGGCCCUCCACUACAUCCUCCAGCAUCUGGACUCCCCAGGAACCUACGCCAGGAUCCUGUUUGUGGACUUCAGCUCUGCUUUUAACACCAUCAUCCCGUCUCUGCUGCAGGACAAACUCUCCCAGCUGCACGUGCCCGACUCCACCUGCAAGUGGAUCACAGACUUCCUGUCUGACAGGAAGCAGCACGUGAAGCUGGGGAAACAUGUCUCAGCCUCUCGGACCAUCAGCACCGGUUCCCCCCAAGGCUGCGUUCUUUCCCCUCUGCUCUUCUCCCUGUACACCAACAGCUGCACCUCCAGCCACCAGUCCGUCAAGCUCCUGAAGUUUGCGGAUGACACCACCCUCAUUGGACUGAUCUCUGGUGGGGACGAGUCCGCCUACAGGUGGAGUCUGACCAUCUGGUGUCGUGGUGCAGCCAGAACAACCUGGAGCUCAACGCCCCACCCUCCCCCAUCACCCUGUGUGACUCCCCCGUCUCCCACCCUGAUGCCUUCCCUGCUUGUCUUUUUGUACCCAGGAGGAAGCCUUGUGGCUGGAACCUUUUCUCCUUCCACUGUUCCGUCCUUCAGCCCCUUACUCUGGCUUCUCCCAUAAACAACUAAGUAUUCGCAUUCACAGAAAGUCAAUGCACACGUUGGAGGAUUUGUUGGUCUGAGUAAAGUCGGUGUGGCCCCCGUCUGAGUAGCAUUGACACUGUCAGCUCUGCCAGGAGUCACAUCUUUAAUAUUAAUGAUUAUUAAGGAUCAUUCUGAUAGCUGAUUUCUAGCUCUGACCGGCUUCUUCUGCACAGUUUUGUUGCUUUGCAGCAGCGACCAGGAAGGAGUGAGAGUUUCAGGAAUGUUUCCUCUGUGCUCAUGAACCACAAAACUCUCUUUCAGCGUUGAUAAUCAUCUUAGAGGAAACAAUGUGGAAUUAAAUUCAGGUCGCACAACAACUGCGCACAAAGAUGCACAAAGAUGGCUGCCUCAGUGCGAUGGUGGUGUUUGUUUUUUCUAUUGUUAAUUCUGUUUUCUGUUGGGAUUCCCGGAGCGCCUUCUCCAGAAAUGAGCUGUGCUGUGUUAAGUUAGUAAAAUUAUGAUUGUAUAGUGACCAAGUUAACGUUAACAUAUUUGACGUAGCAAUAAAUUACAACUGGAACGUGAUUAACGUUAAUCAUGAACGCCAUGAAACUUUAAACUUGCUUCACUUACACUUGAGGCAGAGCGUCGUCACGACGAGACGCCAUUGUUUGCUGACCUCUGACCCCGUUGCAUUGCAAGCUGCGAAGGCUCGUGGGGAGGGGAGGGGGGAGCUGCGCUCAUGUGAUUGAUUGAAAUGAGGGCGACAUCUGAUUGGCUACAGACAGGGUCCAUGUUGAAAAAAACGCAUUUGUGGAUCUGCGACGUAAGACGAGUCUCAAAAACCCCACACACAUGUGAAGCGAUCCGCAAAUAAAUACAGAUUGAUCUGCAAAUAUAAAUCGUAAUUCAUUGAUCGGUGCAUUGAAAUGUAUUUGUAAAUCCUUCUGUGUGCAUUUGUAAAUCGAAUACAUUUGUAAAUUGUUCCGCAUUUGUGAGUCGUUCAGUGUGUAUUUGCAUUUAUUGAGAGCAGGGCUGUAGUGGAGGGUAAACGCACGUAAACGCCGUUUACCCACCUCUGGAAUUUUGGAAAUAGCGUUUACGCACCUCUAAAUAGCGUUUACGCACCUCAAAGUUCCCUGCGCCUUGUAUUCUUCCGUUGGAAUAAUCCGAAAUAAACUUGGUGUAAUUUUAAAACAGCUAAGACUACGUUUCCUAUUGUUGAACAUAUAAACGCUGUAGUCUGAAUCAUGUUCAUCUGCGCUGUAUUACGGUCUGUGAGCAUCCAAUCAGCGCCUUGCGGCUGCAGCAGCGACCAAUCAGGAUCCAGGAGGUGUGUAAACACACGGAUCAGCCCAGUGGUCCCCAACCUUUCUUACCUCACGGACCGGUUUCAUGUCAGACAAUAUUUCGCGGACCGGUCGAGAAGGUCCGACGGGGGGUAGUAGUCGCGCGCUCUGUGUUCGCUGGGCGUGCACGGUAAAAGGAAAACGCCAGUGACGCGCGCACAUAAUUAGGAGAAAAUCCAGUCAAUGUUCAAAGGCUCUGCCUCCCCUGUCAUCAUGAGCGGGGAGCAAAGCUGUUGCUUCACUGAAUAGGCCUAUAUGCUUAAUCAAUUAUUUGAAGUCAUGAAAGGUGUAGAGUCGCCUGUAAGCGUUAGAAAACAAGUCAGUUCUCAAUGUGAAAACAAAACAUGCUGUAGGCUAUUUAUGAUGACGUAGGUAGUACAUGAGUGUUCCUUUAACUCAUGUUGUCAGUGUAAUUGACAGGCUGCUUAACUGGUUAACUCUUAAAUUCAACAUAUUUUUUCCGGCAGUGAGAGGACAGGCAAUGAU
Molecule: long non-coding RNA, 2710 nt
Organism: Gasterosteus aculeatus aculeatus (three-spined stickleback)
Lineage: Eukaryota; Metazoa; Chordata; Actinopteri; Perciformes; Gasterosteidae
Source: Ensembl